GCUGGCAGCUAGCUCUCUGCAACUCUUGCAUUGUUUUCCUCCUGAAGCUAAGCAGGGCUGCGCCCGGUCAUUACCUGGAUGGGAGACCACAUGGGAAAGCUAGGUUGCUGCCGGAA
This is a ribosomal RNA of Danio rerio (zebrafish), 116 nucleotides long. NCBI's taxonomy places the organism in Eukaryota, Metazoa, Chordata, Actinopteri, Cypriniformes, Danionidae. The record is from Ensembl.